UACGUAGGUGGCGAGCGUUGUCCGGAUUUACUGGGCGUAAAGGGCGUGCAGGCGGUCUGUUAAGUUCAGGGUGAAAGCUCCCGGCUCAACUGGGAGAGGUCCUUGGAUACUGGCAGACUUGAGGGAGGUAGAGGAGAGUGGAAUUCCUGGUGUAGAGGUGAAAUUCGUAGAUAUCAGGAGGAACACCGGUGGCGAAGGCGGCUUUCUGGACGACAACUGACGCUGAGACGCGAAAGCGUGGGGAGCAAACAGG
This 253-nucleotide ribosomal RNA is filed under the name uncultured bacterium. RNAcentral's name for it is "partial 16S ribosomal RNA". It matches the Rfam family "Bacterial small subunit ribosomal RNA", at positions 524 to 776 of the family's 1533-position model. The record is from RNAcentral.